This is a non-coding RNA of Triticum urartu, 135 nucleotides long. Lineage: Eukaryota; Viridiplantae; Streptophyta; Magnoliopsida; Poales; Poaceae. The record is from Rfam.
AAAGUACUCCCUCCAUCCCAAAAUUCUCGUCUUAGAUUUGUCUAGAUACGGAUGUAUCAAGUCACAUUUUAGUAUUAGAUACAUACGUAUCUAGACAAAUCUAAGACAAGAAAUUUGGGACAGAGGGGUUAGUUG